UUGAUGAAGUGCAAGGCCUAACAAUUUUUCACAUUAAGAGUCAUUUACAGAAAUAUCGGGCAGUAAAGUGUAUUAUGAAUUUCUCUGAAGGUAAACAUGGAGGGAAAGCAAAUCAUGAUCGAAUGCCAAUUCACAACAGUAAAAAAAAUGGUGGAGUUCAUAUUUCAGAAGCUCUUCGUCUGCAAUUGGAUGUACAAAAGAACUUACAUGAACAAUUAGAGGUUGAACAUAUAAACUCUAAUCCCUUUAUUUAAACUGCCAAGGACUUCUAUUAUCUAA
Molecule: long non-coding RNA, 279 nt
Organism: Dioscorea cayenensis subsp. rotundata (Guinea yam)
Lineage: Eukaryota; Viridiplantae; Streptophyta; Magnoliopsida; Dioscoreales; Dioscoreaceae
Exons: 4
Source: RefSeq, a predicted model, not a curated record